UAUUUGAAGUACUUAGAACAUUUUCUUUUAAUACUUUUAUCAAUCCUUAAGUUCAGCCAUGCCAAACUAACUGACAAAGAAUUAUCAUUAAUGUCACAGAAAUACAAACUCUUAAAAAUGGUAGAAAAUAAGCUAAAAAACAUGCUGCAUAAAGGAUGACUAUCUUGUUAACACUGACUAGGAAGAACCUUUAUCAUUCAUUUGGACAACACUUCAAUAUUCACUUAUGGUACUGCAAUGUUCUUUUUAAGUUUUUGCGACCUGUAAAUGCUUACAUUACCUCAUCUCAUGGCUGAAUAUUUUGCAUUUUGUCACAUUUUCAUUUAUGAUAAAUUUAUUGCCUUCCUUUUUUUCUUGGAAACCCAAAAUGGUUCCACACCGGCGACUUAAACUUCGCUGGAGUGUUGACUAUGCUGUCCUACUCAGCUGACAUUUUCUGCAUAAUUGCAGUAGAUCGAAUGGCGUCAAGUCGUAAAACAAUCUGCAUGCAAAUUUCAUUUUUUAAAACACUUUAAAUGUCGAAAACAACGAAUAUCUGCAAUGUUUUAAAUACAGUGUGUCUUCACUGUUGACAGAUACUUAUUUUACGAUCUCAUUUUUAUAUUUAUGUGCAUGUCGUGAUGUUUGACGUAAAGAGCCUUACAUCAGAACACGUGACUGCUGUAAACAUUACAAAAGACCGUCGAUUGCAUUUUUGUUUUUUGUUCUUUUGCUAAACAGACAAGAAUGAAUUCUGAUUUUACGAAUAUUCGAAUAUUUACCAUGUGAAUAAUGAAUAUGUAUUUGACAACAGGCAUUAUUCGGUGCACCGAAUAUUCGAGCGUAUCGUAAUAAGUGGGCUAAGUGUCUAUGCUUCUGAUCAGAAGGUCAUGGGUUCAAGACCAGCCUUGACCUGCCUGUCCUUUAUUUUGAUUUCGCCUGCAUGUCCUUUCCUCACCAUUAGUUAUGCACCGGUGCCGUUUCAGCUAAAGUAGGAGACCGAGUUGUUGAAUGUCUGUACUGGCUUGUUUGGCUUAGUGGGCUAAGUGUCUGUGUUUGUGAUCAGAUGGUUAUGGGUUCAAGGCCUGCCUGUCCUUUAUUUUGAUUUCGCAUGGAUGUCCUAUCCUCACCAUUAGUUAUGCACCGGUGCCGUUUCAGCAAAAGUAGGAGACCGAGUUGAUAAGUGUCUUUACUGGCUUGUGUGGCUUAGUGGGCUAAGUGUCUGUGUUUGUGAUCAGAUGGUCAUGGGUUCAAGCUCAGCCUUGGCCUGCCUGUCCUUUAUUUUGAUUUUGCCUGGAUGUUCAUUCCUCACCAUUAGUUAGGCACUGGUGCUGUUUCAGGUAAAGUAGGAGACCGAGUUGUUGAGUUUUUGUACUGGUCUGUGUGGCUUAGUUGGCUAAGUGUCUGUGCUUGUGAUCAGAAGGUCAUGGGUUCAAGCCCAGCCUUGGCCUACCUGUUGGUUUAUAGGAAAAGAAGGGUUAAGGGUUGUGUAUUAUUAUUAUAAGUCUUGCUGCUCUCACACUUGUUUAAUAAUAUGGUGGGGGCCCUAAGUGUGGCAAUUGAUUUUUUCCUAACUGUAUAUUCUGGGGGGGGGGAGGCCUGAGGGUGGUGGUCAUCUGUCUUGGCCUCCACAUGUUGUUGGGGUGGUGGUUGUGCAUGGGGAGGAGAGGCUUGAACCCUGGUCCUGGGAGUGUGAGGCACUGUUGCUAACCACUACCCUACCAAGCCACCCCCCUCCUUUAUUUAACGGCUUUAAUAAUGCUACCAGUUAAAUUCGUCUUUAAAUUUGCUUGUGUGUUUUGUCUCUUCUUUGGCAAAUGAAUUACAUGAAAAAUAUGAGUGUAGUGAAGUGGAGACUUUAUAAGUAAAACUGUAAAAAAGCACAAUUACCCUGCUUAAUGGAUGGUGAAAAGAGAACCAGAAGCAAAGCCUCCUUCUGUGCUUACUGUUGACUUCCAGCAGACUGGGGAGUCUAACAGCCCGUCUUUUCAUACAAUCCUGUAGUGACACCAUUAAUAUUUCUUUUAACAACAUCGUUCAUUUGAAAUGUUAUUUACUUUUUCCAGUUUUUACCUGAUUUGGAGUGUUAUAAAUGUUAUAAAUGGGACUGUAAUGAAUGCAAAAUACGUCAAACUUCUUAUUUCAGUUCAGAGUAAACCAAAGCAAUAAGUCCACCAAAAUACCACGUCGCUGGCAUGUUUAUGGCAGGUUUUGCUUAUCUGACUUGAUUUGAAAAGGGAAAAACCACACUAAACGUGCACAGAAAAAUCCACCUUUUUUUGCUAAUAAAAUACUUUGUUAA
Molecule: non-coding RNA, 2281 nt
Organism: Paramormyrops kingsleyae
Lineage: Eukaryota; Metazoa; Chordata; Actinopteri; Osteoglossiformes; Mormyridae
Source: RefSeq, a predicted model, not a curated record